This 396-nucleotide ribosomal RNA is filed under the name uncultured Lactobacillus sp. RNAcentral describes it as "bacterial SSU rRNA". It matches the Rfam family "Bacterial small subunit ribosomal RNA", at positions 149 to 525 of the family's 1533-position model. Lineage: Bacteria; Bacillati; Bacillota; Bacilli; Lactobacillales; Lactobacillaceae. The record is from RNAcentral.
UUUGGAAACAGAUGCUAAUACCGGAUAAAAAGCUACUUUCGCAUGAAAGAAGUUUAAAAAAGGUACGGCGUAAAGCUGUCGCUAAAGGAUGGACCUGCGAUGCAUUAGCUAGUUGGUAAGGUAACGGCUUACCAAGGCGAUGAUGCAUAGCCGAGUUGAGAGACUGAUCGGCCACAUUGGGACUGAGACACGGCCCAAACUCCUACGGGAGGCAGCAGUAGGGAAUCUUCCACAAUGGACGCAAGUCUGAUGGAGCAACGCCGCGUGAGUGAGGAAGGUUUUCGGAUCGUAAAGCUCUGUUGUUGGUGAAGAAGGAUAGAGGUAGUAACUGGCCUUUAUUUGACGGUAAUCAACCAGAAAGUCACGGCUAACUACGUGCCAGCAGCCGCGGUAAAU